AACCUCCCUCAGCUUGACUUCUUGCAGCAUCCUAAAGCUGGACUCUCUCCGGAUGACAGCCUGCUCUGACAUGCAUUUGCAGAAACACAUUUGAGAAAGAUAAGGAAUGUAACAUUUGUUCCUUGAUGAUGAUAUGUUGGCUGCCGCAGAACGUUUUUAAAGCCUUAAGAUUGCAUCUAUUAUUUCUGAAAAGAGGGAGGAAAAAAUCUCCCUGGGAAAAGAGCUACACACAAUAGGGCAUACAUUAGUUUUCCUAGACUCUUUUGCUGAAUUAAUUGCACUUCCAAAACAUUCUUGCCUGAACCACGCUUCAAGAAGGCUCUCAGCUGCAGAGAAUGAAAACUCCCUUCCACACACAUCGAAAUCAGGAAAUCAGAAGAGGCACCAGACUUCUCCGCACAGUGUCUUGUUUCUCUCCUGCCAUUCAUCAGAAACCUUCUCCAAGAUGUUGCAUUGCAGGGAAAUUAGAGAUGAAAUGGUCACAAAAGUAGAGAGAUGUUUAGCCUAAGGACAGUUAUAUGUGUUUCAGAAAAAAGUAAAAAAGGUCAAACCUAAGUCAAGGAAAUGGCUCGGCUUUCUCUAAAACAGAGAGAGAGAACUUUUCUCAGCUGAAAACAUAAGAGAAAGAGAGGAAAGAAACCUGAGAUACAGCUCAAUAGCAUUCUCUUGUCUUGGCCAAGUGUUCAUUUGUAUUGUCAAAACUCAUGGAGAAUCAAACUGUGCCUGAAGCUUAAAGGUGAAGUAUAAUCUACAAACAAAUAAAAUGAUCCUUAAUCAUGGGUUAGGAGUGGGGGCCACCCAAAAGGCAUUGUCCAUGUGCCCUGAAGUUUUAGGAUGCAUUGAAAGUCACAGAUUCAAAAAAGACCAACUGGAGAGGUGAGACCUGCUAUGUGCAUUCCAAAUCAGCCUACCCGGUCAAACUCAAGCCAUCUAAAAUGGAUUAAAGAUUAGUUAUCAUUUCAAUCCUAUGAAAGAAGAUCUAUAUUUCUCUUUUAGACACAAAAUUCUCCAGAGGAUGGUGCUUGCCAACACUCUGAAAAAAUAAUCUCUCAAAAUUCUUGCAACCCACUGUGUUAUGAUUUCAUCUCAUGAAAUAUAACACCUUUACAUUAAACCCCAUAAAACUAAAUCCCUCUGGAUCUCUUCCAGACUCAGAGAAUAAGCAGCUCUGUUGGUGAUGCUUAGAAAAGUGAAGCACAGCCUCUUCUCAUUGGGCUGGUUCCCACCACUGGGUCCAUUUUGCAGAGAAUAAAUUUUCUUUACUUCUACCAAAUAUUUACAUGGGAUUAAUCUCACACAUAAUAGAUCUUGCAAAUGCUUUGUGAAU
Molecule: long non-coding RNA, 1327 nt
Filed under: Equus caballus (horse)
Lineage: Eukaryota; Metazoa; Chordata; Mammalia; Perissodactyla; Equidae
Description: lncRNA (ENSECAG00000044435.1)
Source: RNAcentral